Molecule: ribosomal RNA, 608 nt
Filed under: Fungia sp. AG-2007-A
Lineage: Eukaryota; Metazoa; Cnidaria; Anthozoa; Scleractinia; Fungiidae
Description: eukaryotic LSU rRNA
Rfam family: 5.8S ribosomal RNA (bases 240-393)
Source: RNAcentral
GGUUUCCGUAGGUGAACCUGCGGAAGGAUCAUUACCGAUGUAAUCCAAAAGCACGACUCCGUCGUGACUACCGUGUGAACCGUACCAAACUAUUCAGGGGUCGGCCAGUCCGUUAAAUGGCGGUCGGACGAGUGCAUUGCGCGCGGCCGCUCCGCCAGCCCCGCCUGUGUUUUUUAACAUACGUGUCUUGUCUGAAAACGUGACCACUGCCGUGGUCUAGAGCAAACAAAAAGAGAGACAACUUUUGACGGUGGAUCUCUUGGCUCACGCAUCGAUGAAGAACGCAGCCAGCUGCGAUAAGUAGUGUGAAUUGCAGAAUUCAGUGAAUCAUCGAAUCUUUGAACGCAAAUGGCGCUCUUGGGUUCUCCCAGGAGCAUGUCUGUCUGAGUGUCGGAUAUCAUCCAACGCACCUAGUCGUGCGGCGUUGAGGCGUCACGGCCCUUCUUGCGGCCGUGUCCCUUGAAAGUUAGAGAGACUCGCCGCGGCACGGGUUCGUUCCCUGCACACUCGCGGAGGCUAAAAACGCUUUUGCCCUUCGCGUGCACGGGAGCGACUCGUCCGCCGAGUCGCGGAGGCGAAAACUUUUCAACUCUUGACCUCAGAUCAGG